AGCCUGAUCCAGCAUGCCGCGUGAGUGAAGAAGGCCUAUCGGGUUGUAAAGCUCUUUUGUCAGGGAAGAAACGGGGUUGGCUAAUAUCUGAUCCUAAUGACGGUACCUGAAGAAUAAGCACCGGCUAACUACGUGCCAGCAGCCGCGGUAAUACGUAGGGUGCAAGCGUUAAUCGGAAUUACUGGGCGUAAAGCGUGCGCAGGCGGUUUUGUAAGACUGUCGUGAAAUCCCCGGGCUCAACCUGGGAAUGGCGAUGGUGACUGCAAGGCUAGAGUUUGGCAGAGGGGGGUAGAAUUCCACGUGUAGCAGUGAAAUGCGUAGAUAUGUGGAGGAACACCGAUGGCGAAGGCAGCCCCCUGGGUCAAAACUGACGCUCAUGCACGAAAGCGUGGGGAGCAAACAGGAUUAGAUACCCUGGUAGUCCACGCCCUAAACGAUGUCUACUAGUUGUCGGGUCUUAAUUGACUUGGUAACGCAGCUAACGCGUGAAGUAGACCGCCUGGGGAGUACGGUCGCAAGAUUAAAACUCAAAGGAAUUGACGGGGACCCGCACAAGCGGUGGAUGAUGUGGAUUAAUUCGAUGCAACGCGAAAAACCUUACCUACCCUUGACAUGGCAGAAAUCCUCGAGAGAU
Molecule: ribosomal RNA, 634 nt
Filed under: Duganella sp. Ri3Ps_5401
Lineage: Bacteria; Pseudomonadati; Pseudomonadota; Betaproteobacteria; Burkholderiales; Oxalobacteraceae
Description: bacterial SSU rRNA
Rfam family: Bacterial small subunit ribosomal RNA
Source: RNAcentral